AGCGAACGCUGGCGGCAGGCCUAACACAUGCAAGUCGAACGGACCCUUCGGGGUUAGUGGCGGACGGGUGAGUAACACGUGGGAACGUGCCUUUAGGUUCGGAAUAGCUCCUGGAAACGGGUGGUAAUGCCGAAUGUGCCCUUCGGGGGAAAGAUUUAUCGCCUUUAGAGCGGCCCGCGUCUGAUUAGCUUGUUGGUGGGGUAAUGGCCCACCAAGGCUACGAUCAGUAGCUGGUCUGAGAGGAUGACCAGCCACAUUGGGACUGAGACACGGCCCAAACUCCUACGGGAGGCAGCAGUGGGGAAUCUUGCGCAAUGGGCGAAAGCCUGACGCAGCCAUGCCGCGUGUAUGAUGAAGGUCUUAGGAUUGUAAAAUACUUUCACCGGUGAAGAUAAUGACUGUAGCCGGAGAAGAAGCCCCGGCUAACUUCGUGCCAGCAGCCGCGGUAAUACGAAGGGGGCUAGCGUUGCUCGGAAUUACUGGGCGUAAGGGAGCGUAGGCGGACAUUU
RNAcentral lists this ribosomal RNA (509 nucleotides) under uncultured bacterium. Its description in RNAcentral is "bacterial SSU rRNA". It matches the Rfam family "Bacterial small subunit ribosomal RNA", at positions 28 to 584 of the family's 1533-position model. The record is from RNAcentral.